Molecule: small RNA, 132 nt
Filed under: Arabidopsis thaliana (thale cress)
Lineage: Eukaryota; Viridiplantae; Streptophyta; Magnoliopsida; Brassicales; Brassicaceae
Description: ATSL241060
Source: RNAcentral
UAAUCUUAGUGUUAAAUUUACUUGCGUGAAAAGCGGUUGACCUAAUAACACGGCUUAAGGACCCGUAGGAUGGGACGGCAUGCUUAGUCCGAUUUGUUCUCAAUGCAUUGAAAUUUAACACUUCGAUUUUUU